RNAcentral lists this long non-coding RNA (6760 nucleotides) under Podarcis lilfordi (Lilford's wall lizard). Lineage: Eukaryota; Metazoa; Chordata; Lepidosauria; Squamata; Lacertidae. The record is from RNAcentral.
GUUUGUUUUAGACCAGGGAUGGGGAAUCUGUGGUCCUCCAGAUGUUAUUGGGUUACAAGAUUCAUUAUUCCCAGCAACUGGCUGUGUUGGUUGGGGCUGAUAGGAGUCAACAAUAUCUGUAGGAUCACAGGUUUCCCAUGCCUGCCUCAGACUGUAAAACACAAAGCUCAAUUAGCUGACAAAGUCGCAAUGGCAUCUUAUUAAUCACAGAUUUAAAAUAUAUACUGAGUAAAGUGCCAGUGCACUUUAAUUUUUGAAAGACAUUAAUCUCUUUCUCUGUGUUUUCCAACAUGGGAUAGAAACUUUACCAAGAGGCAAGCACAUCUCCCUUAUCUGUCCUCUUGACUUGUAUAUUUACAUCCACACCAGAGCAUUGAUUCCAGGUAGAAAAUGCAAUUUCAUUACACUCAGAGACAAAAAAAGUGUGUUAAUAAAACAUCAAGGGAAGUCCUUGACGUAAAGAAGUUCACAUCUACAUAAAGUCAGCUGCUGGGUGCCACAGACACAGAUAAUAAUCACUAAGCAUUUUAAAUCAUCUUUUGAAAAUGAAAUCUUCCAGUAGCUCUAGAUAUUCCAGAAGGAUUUUCUAAAAAUCCUUUUUUAAUUAAUGACAGCCUUGAGGGCAACAAACAAUGAUUAAUUAAAAAACAAGCCAAAAGGAAAAUUGGGAAUGGGCUGUGGGAGGCGGUGGGGAGAGAAGCAAGCAGGGUUCUUUUUUCCUCUGCAGAUAAACAACAUUUGUUCUUAGCAAAUAAAGAAAACUGUACUAAAUUGUACCAAAUAAGAUUGAAAUGCUAUGCUCCUGUCAGGACAUGAAGAAUUAUCAUCAUCAUCAUCUUGUCGUUCCUCUCAUGAGAGCCCAGAGGAGCUAAGAAUAAAAAUGUAGCACAUUAAAAGCAUUAAAACAAAGUGUAUGAAUAUGGACUUUAAGCUGCAAUCCUGUUUGGUAAGGGCAGUUGCAUAGCAUCUGCUUUGCAUGCAGAAGGUCUCAUAUUCAAUCCCCAGUAUUUUGAGAGGGACUACUACCUGAAACUGCAGAGCUGCUGCAUUCAUUGUAGACAAUACCAACCUAGAUGGGCUAGUGGUUUGACUCAGUACAGAUCACAGAAAAGAAGCUAACAGCUCUCACUUGUGGACCAGAGAGCAGAACUGUAGAUGCUGCUGUUAAGGCUUGGACAGGGACAUAUGAAGGCAAGCAGUCCUUCAGACAGUCUGGUCUCAAUCCAUUCAGAGCUUUAAAUGCUAAUACUGCAACCUUAAAUUGGUAACUGUGUGUUCUCAUCUCAGCACCUAAAACAUUGCCGAGUGUCCUCAUCUUCUGAGAGAAGUGUUCAGGGUUCUACCCAUGCUUUCUUCAAUUUCAUUCCACCCAUUUUGUUUUCCAUUUUUCUUUUCCAAAUGUCAACAUUGCUUGGCUCCAGAUCAGGUUCAAUUCCCAUUUGACUAUUUUGGAGGCUCAUUUCUUCCUUCUAAUUUGUUUUUAAAAGGUGUGUGGGUGUCGUGUUGUGGGUGUUGCACUUCUGUAAACCUGAAGUUCCCACAAACAGGUUGCUUUCUCCCUCUUCUUUUUCAGUGGCCCCAUUUUGGUUCUAAUCUGCACUCAUCACCUGAGUUCACUGGCAUAUAAGCCAUAAUAACACAUAGUAAAUGUUUAAAUAUUAUUUGUCUUUUUCCCCACCUGCCAGAAUGUUUCAGUCAUAGGCCUUUUCACUUCUUUUGAAUAAUCUAGUCCAGUAGUUCCCAAUUACGGUAACUAAUUCCUAAGGACCCCCUAUUUUUUCAAAAGCCAAGCCACAGACCCGCCCCAAUUUUUGAAAUUUUUGAUAACUCUAUGAUAGUUACCUAUGCAAAACAAUUUUUUGAACAAAAUAUGGGGUAGGCCUUAAUAAGCAAAGGAAUUUAGGUAUACUAAAACACAGACUAGGGCUGAGUGAUAUCUGGUUUUCAACAUCGUGAUAUAUCAACAGCUGAACAUUGAGAUAUUCUGAUAUAUCACGAUGUCUGACAUUGGAGAUCAGGAGUGGGGAUGAAGGAAGGAGCAGUUGCAGAGAUUGGAUGGGUGAGGGGAGGAGAGGAAGUGAAGUCACCUCCACCGCAUGGUUGAAUGGGAGGGGAUGAGGUGGGGGAUGCAUCAAGCCACCGUCAGUGGGGCAGCCGGCAAAGAUACAUAUCCACUGUGGCUGCUGCUGCUGCUACUUUCCUGCUGACAGAAAAGUUGCUCCGCCUCAGUGCUAGAGGAAUGUAGUGCCACAGUGCCUUGAAGUGAAGGCAAUCAGCUGUCCUGUUCUCUGUCAGUGUGAGGAAAAGGCUGCCCUGGUCUCCCUCAGCAUGAGGGAAGGCAGCCCAGAUCAGCAGCAUUAUCGGCUGAGAUCAUCGUGCGAUAUUGGUGGGGCCUUGAAAUCGACUGACCUGCUCUCCCUCGCGCAGGGAGUGAUACAUUGCUGUGUAAUGCUGGGUCGAAAUCAUUAUCGCGGUGUGAUUUCAAAACGAAUUUUGGCCAAUUUAUUGAAAAAUUGCACAGUGUUAAACAGACCAUAAAAUUAAUGAUAUUACCAUACAAAAAUGACAAAAAAUAGACCCCCUGGGGGUCCCCGGACCCCUAAUUGGGAACCACUGAUUUAGUCCAAGGAGAGCUUUAGGGUAUCUGACAAGCUCUUUCUUGGGAUCAGUUAUCUAGAACACGUGUAUGACCAUAAAUCAUUUCAUUUUAGUGGGGGGUGGGGAAAUCCAGUCAUUAAAGAUAAAAAAUUAGCUAAAUGAUAAGGGUGAUGAAUUUCUAAGUAGCUAAUUUUCUGAUAAGCAGUGAUAUGUAUUUACAAUAGUUAAUUAUUGAUGUACAAUACAUCAAGAAUGAUUAAUCAAAAGGCUGUAAGUCACUACAGAUAUGAAUUGCAUAUUUUAUAAUGCUAUCUUUUUAUCUUUUGCUUUUUUUACUUUGUGAGAUUUUUAGUUUGUUAGUCAUGGUGGAUCAAACAAUGUAAUGAUAAGCUACAGCAAUAGUAAUUUCUAGCUGGUUACCCAUGGAUACUGAAACGACAUAUAUUGAACAGUUUCUACAUCUUUAAAAUAUAUGUUUGUUUUAAAAUGUAUUAUGUCAGCUAUAUGAGAUGUUUAUGCUUAACAGAUUUUGUUCCAGACACUGAUUUCAGGUUCACUUUUGCUUUGAGGUGUUUAGAUUUUUUGCCAUUUCAAAUUACUAUAUUGCAAUACAAUGGUACCUCGGGUUACAGACACUUCAGGUUACAGACACUUCAGGUUACAGACUCCACUAACCCAGAAAUAGUACCUCAGGUUAAGAACUUUGCUUCAGGGUUAGAACAGAAAUCGUGUGGCGGCAGUGGGAGGCCCCAUUAGCUAAAGUGGUACCUCAGGUUAAGAACAGUUUCAGGUUAAGAACGGACCUCCAGAACGAAUUAAGUUCUUAACCCGAGGUACCACUGUAUAAGGAAAAAACUCCUAUCUGAAUUCAAGUAUAGUUCACCAAGGUAGUUCACCACUAGGCCUAAGUUACCGUAAUUGCUUUUCAAUUAGUACAGUCGCUCUGGGAACAUAAUACUCAGAUUUAGCAUCUCCAAGGACCUAAUGCAAAAAAAAUGGGUUGCAUAUCACUAAGUUUGGGAGACGUUUCCAAAUUUCUAGACUGAGGAGGAAGCGGGGUGGUGUGUUCUGUAGCACCACUUGAGGCAAAACGGAAAGUGCUGCCCACUCUUCUACACUGCUGUGCUUCCUCCAUGCCAUUCACCUCCGCCAGCACCACCACCAUGACGUGCCACACACUUUCAUUGGCAGCGGCACCACACCAGAGGAGAAAACAAAUCUGAGCCAAUUAUAAAACAAUAAUUGUUAAUAAAAAUAAAAGCAAUCAAUAAUAAAACAAUAGGUAGCAAAUAGGAUAAGUUAUUAAGUCGCUCUUUAAGGCCAUAAAGAUGGUUAUAAGCGUUAUGUACCAAUAUUUCUUGGAAGUCUGUUCUUCAUGUCCACCUUUGGUGUCUUAAGGUAAUUGUGGUUUGGUUUUCUGACAUCCCAUCCCAAUUCUACUUUUCUGUUCCAGGAUAUCUCCAUUUGGUAUGAUUUCUGAUCCCACAUAUAUGAAAGUUGGAGCCAACUGCUGCAUGUGAAGUAAUCGUCAGAUUUACAAUAUGCACAAAGAAAUGAAUUAUGAUUAAUUCAUUUCCCAAGAUUACAGUGUUGUGCUAAAGGUUACCUUGAGGCUUUUUUUGGUGUGAAAUAUUAAAAAUUCAGCGUUUGUAACAGUUCACAUUAUUCAUAUUGCAAAUCCCGUGAGUUUGAAAAAAAUCUUACAUACAUUAACUAAUCUCCAAAAUUGGUUAAACAUUGAAUGCAUUAUGUGGAAAACAUAACUAAAUGUAAAUUUAAAAACUUAUGUAAGUAGUAGAAAUAGACAUUGGGUGCUGAACAAAUUUAAGAAUUUCAUGAUUGGGAAGUAAGUAAGGCCAGCCCUACAAUGAGGCAGAGUGAGGCACCUGUCUCAGGUGAGGAGAAUGGACAGAGCUGUGCCAUAUGGCCUGCCUGGCUGACACUCCUCAAGUGCAGUGGAAGGUACUGGCAGUUUUGUCACUUAAUGGAAAAGGGGGGGGGAUGUAAAUGAAAAUCUUUUUAAGACUCAUAUACAGAUCCCUUUUAUAAACAGUUUUGCUGAUAAUUACUGAACAAUUCUACAAUGAAGGGUUUGUCAUUGUGCUGAGCACAUUACUAUAUUAGAAAACUCAUGGUUCUGUUGCACCUGAAUGAUUCCACUCAUCUCUGUUUAUCUUCCAUUUCCACUUAAAGGCUCGCAUAUUUAUAGGAAAAAAAUAUUCAUUCUGUAGCAAAUCUCUAUGACUUAUUGGGAAGGAGUAAGAAAUGUUUUCUUGCCCACACAAUGGUGCACUGUCUGAAUGUUUGGAAACCUUUUAUGUCUGCUUUUAGAGAAGCAAAUAGGAAGUAUGUAUAGAGAUGCUUCAGACAUGCAAUAACAUGGCAGCAAGCCUUAGAGCUCUAUUCCUUUGUCAAGUUAUGUCUAUCAGCUCAGUCUAUGCUCCUAUUUUCUGUGAACUCAAAAUUCAGAAUCUCUCUAGCACUGCUCUUCUCUAUCACAAAUACUCUCCUUUUAUCUCAAACACCUGUAAUAGAUUAGAUGAAAAUAUGUUGUUCACUGUGAGUCAGUGGAAUGCUGUUGUUCCCUAUUAAUUUUCUUGAAAAUUAGGUUUUUGCUUUCUGCAGUUGUUCCAUACCAUUAAUUCCAGAUCUUUUGUUUAAAUAUGAAAUGUCUUCUCUUUAGCUCAGAAUCAAAUAUGCUAGAAAGAUAAAAGAGAUUUAAGUAUCUGCAUUUCUGAGGGAUAGGCACAGAAAUGAUGAAAAGCCUAUCUAUACAUGUAAGAGAAAAGCAAGGAAAAUAUUUCCUUCUUUACUUAUGACGUUGUUCCCACAUUCUUGCUGCAUACUGUGCUACACCCUAUUCUGCCUGAGGUUAUAUUUCUGGUCAAAAACAUAAACGCUUCAUUCUACAUGAAGUGUCAGCUUCCUUGUGCCUAGGAAGACCUUGCAUUGGAAAUGUUUUGUUUUGUUAGCUUUAUAUUCUAGUUUGCUUAUGAUAGUCUUACAAAAGAGGUUGUUUUAUCAUCUUUGUUUAUGUGGCUAUGCAGAGAAUUUGAGUUUAUAGUUUAGUGCCACUGUAGUUUCAGCAUCCAUCUGCUUGCUUUAGAGACAGGAUUAGAAAUGAGACAAGAUAAUACCUGAACUGCUUCCCCUGCUGCUAAUCUCUGGUUCACUUCAUACUUUUGCUGUUCUUAUAGGCCCUGAUAAGUGUAAACCUCAAUUAUUAAUUUAGCUACAAGCCCAGUAACAUAAUGACUUAAUUAUGCCUGCUCAGUUGUAGUAAUGUGUACUGCUCUGAAAGUAUACUGAAUGUGUUUUGACCCAUCACCACAUCAGUAAUUUAUAAAAUAGAUGGUAUUAAAAUAUUAGCUUAUUUCAGUUUAGUGAGGUAAUAAUAAUAAUAAUAAUAAUAAUAAUAAUAAUAAUAGAAGAAGAAGAAUUUGGCAACAAUUUCAGGCAGUAAAGAUGAUAAAAGGUUGUAUUACGGAUAAAAAAUGAAAUAAACUUUCAGACUAAUAAUGGCAUGUGGAUUGCCUUUGAAAUAAUCUAAGGCAUCAUCCAAAAGAUCUAAGGACCAAACUACAUGCAAAAUUAAAUGUCUGGCCACCACUAACUUACAUCUGCUUUCCACAUCUCCUGAUAAUGUCACAGACAUGUGACAUGACAUAAUAAUUGCACACCAUUUCCCCUUUCUCUGCAACUCAAAGCAAAUUAAGUGGAGUAGAGAACAGUUAAAUAAGCAAUGAUGUCACAUUAAGUGUUGACUUUACAGUAACUAAAUGUUAGUGGGAGAUAUGAUAAGGUUCAAUGUGGCUAUGUGUUUAACGUAAUGUACAGACCCCCUCUGAAAAGAAGGUUCAAAGGCUCUCAGAGUGAGCAAAUAAGGGUGGUUUCAGCUGACACCAAUUUUGUAGGGUCACCACUUUUUCACAUCGUAGUUGUUGUAUCCAGUCAUCUCUGUGACUUCCACCAGAUGAAGCCAACUAACCUCUUAAUGCCAUACCUGCAUAUGCACAGUCAGACAUAAGAAGAAGAAGAAGAGUUUGGAUUUGAUAUUCCCCUUUAUCACUACCCUUAGGAGUCUCAAAGCGGCUAACAUUCUCCUUUCCCUUCCUCCCCCACAACAAACACUCUGUGAGGUGAGUGAGGCUGAGAGACUUCA